AGUGAACGCUGGCGGUAGGCCUAACACAUGCAAGUCGAACGGCAGCACAGUAAGAGCUUGCUCUUACGGGUGGCGAGUGGCGGACGGGUGAGGAAUACAUCGGAAUCUACUUUUUCGUGGGGGAUAACGUAGGGAAACUUACGCUAGUACCGCAUACGACCUACGGGUGAAAGCAGGGGAUCUUCGGACCUUGCGCGAUUGAAUGAGCCGAUGUCGGAUUAGCUAGUUGGCGGGGUAAAGGCCCACCAAGGCGACGAUCCGUAGCUGGUCUGAGAGGAUGAUCAGCCACACUGGAACUGAGACACGGUCCAGACUCCUACGGGAGGCAGCAGUGGGGAAUAUUGGACAAUGGGCGCAAGCCUGAUCCAGCCAUACCGCGUGGGUGAAGAGGGCCUUCGGGUUGUAAAGCCCUUUUGUUGGGAAAGAAAAGCAGCAGGUUAAUACCCCGCUGUUCUGACGGUACCCAAAGAAUAAGCACCGGCUAACUUCGUG
RNAcentral lists this ribosomal RNA (492 nucleotides) under uncultured bacterium. Its description in RNAcentral is "partial 16S ribosomal RNA". It matches the Rfam family "Bacterial small subunit ribosomal RNA", at positions 29 to 507 of the family's 1533-position model. The record is from RNAcentral.